Molecule: small nuclear RNA, 148 nt
Organism: Neomonachus schauinslandi (Hawaiian monk seal)
Lineage: Eukaryota; Metazoa; Chordata; Mammalia; Carnivora; Phocidae
Product: U4 spliceosomal RNA
Exons: 1
Source: RefSeq, a predicted model, not a curated record
AGCUUUGUGCAGUGUCAGUAUUGUAGCCAAUGAGGUUUAUCCGAGGCGCGAUUAUUGCUAAUUGAAAGAUACAUGAAAGAACAAUGAGGCAAAAUUUGCCUUACCAAAUAUCAAAAUAUACCAUAAAGUCAUUGUAAUUCAAAUGAAU